This 506-nucleotide ribosomal RNA is filed under the name uncultured bacterium. RNAcentral describes it as "partial 16S ribosomal RNA". It matches the Rfam family "Bacterial small subunit ribosomal RNA", at positions 30 to 523 of the family's 1533-position model. The record is from RNAcentral.
AUUGAACGCUGGCGGCAGGCCUAACACAUGCAAGUCGAACGGUAACAGGAAGAAGCUUGCUUCUUUGCUGACGAGUGGCGGACGGGUGGGUAAUGUCUGGGAAACUGCCUGAUGGAGGGGGAUAACUACUGGAAACGGUAGCUAAUACCGCAUAACGUCGCAAGACCAAAGAGGGGGACCCUCGGGCCUCUUGCCAUCGGAUGUGCCCAGAUGGGAUUAGCUUGUUGGUGGGGUAACGGCUCACCAAGGCGACGAUCCCUAGCUGGUCUGAGAGGAUGACCAGCCACACUGGAACUGAGACACGGUCCAGACUCCUACGGGAGGCAGCAGUGGGGAAUAUUGCACAAUGGGCGCAAGCCUGAUGCAGCCAUGCCGCGUGUAUGAAGAAGGCCUUCGGGUUGUAAAGUACUUUCAGCGGGGAGGAAGGGAGUAAAGUUAAUACCUUUGCUCAUUGACGUUACCCGCAGAAGAAGCACCGGCUAACUCCGUGCCAGCCGCCGCUGUAA